Molecule: ribosomal RNA, 119 nt
Filed under: Lepisosteus oculatus (spotted gar)
Lineage: Eukaryota; Metazoa; Chordata; Actinopteri; Semionotiformes; Lepisosteidae
Source: RNAcentral
ACCAGAAGCCAUAUCACCCUGAAACUCUUAGCUAGUAAUCCAUUGAAGCUAAGCAGAAGUGAGCUUAGUCAGUAUCUGGAUGGGAGACCUCCUGGGAAAAAUUAAGGCUGCUGCUGGAA